Molecule: ribosomal RNA, 2347 nt
Filed under: Myxococcota bacterium
Lineage: Bacteria; Pseudomonadati; Myxococcota
Description: partial 23S ribosomal RNA
Rfam family: Bacterial large subunit ribosomal RNA
Source: RNAcentral
GGUCAAGCUAUUAAGAGCAUUCGGUGGAUGCCUUGGCUCCAAGAGGCGAAGAAGGACGUGGUAAAACUGCGAUAAGCGACGGGGAGUUGUUAACAAGCAUUGAUCCGUCGAUCUCCGAAUCGGGAAACCGACACAGAGUUAUGUCUGUGUGUCCCCUGGCUGAAUACAUAGGCUGGGGGAAGCGAACGAGGGGAACUGAAACAUCUCAGUACCCUCAGGAAAAGAAAUCAAAUCAGAGAUUCCGCUAGUAGUGGCGAGCGAACGCGGAACAGCCCAAACAGUAUGUAUGCAAGCCUGCCGGCGUUGUACGUACUGUGUUGUAGGGCCAUCCAGGUAUCUCGGCAGAGAUACCAAGGGACACUAAAUGAGUAGUCGAACAACCUGGGAAGGUUGGUCAUAGAGCGUGAUAACCGCGUAGACGAAACUCAAAUAGACCCUGGGUGGUUCCUGAGUACAACGGGACACGGGAAACCCUGUUGGAAUCUGGGAGGACCAUCUCCCAAGGCUAAAUACUACUUGGAGACCGAUAGUGAACCAGUACCGUGAGGGAAAGGUGAAAAGCACCCCCGCGAGGGGAGUGAAAAGUUUCUGAAACCGAAUGUUUACAAGCCGUGGAAGCACUAUGACCGCAAGGUAAUGUGCGACCGCGUGCCUUUUGCAUAAUGAUCCUGCGAGUUACGAUGUCCGGCAAGGUUAAGUCGCUAGACGAAGCCGAAGCGAAAGCGAGUCUGAAUAGGGCGUCUAGUCGGAUGUCGUAGACCCGAAACCCGGCGAUCUAUCCAUGGGCAGGCUGAAGAGCGGGUAACACCGCUUGGAGGGCCGAACUCACCACAGUUGAAAAUGUGGGGGAUGACCUGUGGAUCGGAGUGAAAGGCUAAUCAAGCUGGGUUAUAGCUGGUUCUCGCCGAAACAUAUUUAGGUAUGGCGUCUGAGGUAUUCUUCUUCGGAGGUAAAGCACUGGAUGGGCUAGGGGUCUUACCCGAUUACCAAACCCAACCAAACUCUGAAUGCCGAAGAAAGCGACCCAGGCAGACAGGCUAUGAGAGCUAAGUUCCAUGGCCAAAAGGGAAAGAGCCCAGACCGUCAGCUAAGGUCCCCAAAUCAGCACUAAGUGGGAAAGGAUGUGGAGGCACAUUGACAGCCAGGAGGUUGGCUUAGAAGCAGCCAUCCUUUAAAGAAAGCGUAAUAGCUCACUGGUCAAGUGAAUCUGCGCCGAAAAUGUAACGGGGCUAAAGUGUUGUACCGAAGCUACGGAUUCUAGUUAAGACUGCGGUCUUAGCAGAGUGGUAGGCGAGCAUUCUCUCGACUGCGAAGGUCAACGGUAACGAUGGCUGGAGUAGAGAGAAGAGCUUAUGCAGGAUUGAGUAGCGAUAAAACAGGUGAGAAACCUGUUCGCCGUAAGCCCAAGGGUUCCUGGGUCAAGUUAAUCUUCCCAGGGUUAGUCGGUCCCUAAGCGGAGGCCGAAAGGCGUACGUGAUGGGAAGCAGGUUAAUAGUCCUGCACCACAUUGGAUGGUUUCUACAGAAGGGACGGAGAAAGGCGAUCGAGCCGGGUAUUGGAUACCGGUUCAAGCGAGUAGGGAGACUCUUUAGGAGGCCUAGUGCCACAAACGGAGAGUCAAUCCUGAGACGUGAUGAGGAGAGCGCUUGCGCUCACAAACUCGAUGAUCCUCAGCUCCCAAGAAAAGCUUCGGUAGAGUUAACCGCUGAUGUGACCGUACCGCAAACCGACACAGGUGGGCGGGGAGAAGAUCCCAAGGCGCUUGAGAGAACUCUGCCUAAGGAACUCGGCAAAAUGACACCGUAACUUCGGGAGAAGGUGUGCCCUCAUUACGUGAACCUGCACAAGGGGAGCGGAAGGGGGUUGCAGAGAAUCGGGGGUAGCGACUGUUUAUCAAAAACACAGCACUCUGCGAAGUCGCAAGACGACGUAUAGGGUGUGAUGCCUGCCCGGUGCUGGAAGGUUAAAGAGAGGACUCAGCCGCAAGGCAAAGGUCCGAACUGAAGCCCCAGUAAACGGCGGCCGUAACUAUAACGGUCCUAAGGUAGCGAAAUUCCUUGUCGGGUAAGUUCCGACCUGCACGAAUGGCAUAACGACUUCCCCACUGUCUCGGGCAGAGACUCAGCGAAGUAGCACUAGGGGUGAAGAUACCCUUUACCCACGACAGGACGGAAAGACCCCGUGAACCUUCACUACAGCUUGACAUUGUUUGACGGAAAGAUUUGCGUAGGAUAGGUGGGAGGCUAUGAAGCAGGGAUUCCGGUCUCUGCAGAGCCAACGUUGAAAUACCACCCUGAUUUUUCUGGCAAACUAACCUACACCCGUGAGCCGGGUGGGGGACACUGUC